UGGCUCAGUGGUAGAGUACUUGCCUUGCAUGCAUGAGGCCUUGGGUUCAAUUCCUCA
This 57-nucleotide transfer RNA is filed under the name Dipodomys ordii (Ord's kangaroo rat). It matches the Rfam family "tRNA", at positions 8 to 63 of the family's 71-position model. Rfam says of the family: Transfer RNA (tRNA) molecules are approximately 80 nucleotides in length. Their secondary structure includes four short double-helical elements and three loops (D, anti-codon, and T loops). The record is from Rfam by way of RNAcentral. Lineage: Eukaryota; Metazoa; Chordata; Mammalia; Rodentia; Heteromyidae.